AGAAUAACGAGGAGGAUGAGAACGCGUUUUCUUAUCAUCACCA
This 43-nucleotide small RNA is filed under the name Arabidopsis thaliana (thale cress). RNAcentral's name for it is "ATSL259390". Lineage: Eukaryota; Viridiplantae; Streptophyta; Magnoliopsida; Brassicales; Brassicaceae. The record is from RNAcentral.